Molecule: transfer RNA, 56 nt
Filed under: Secale cereale subsp. segetale
Lineage: Eukaryota; Viridiplantae; Streptophyta; Magnoliopsida; Poales; Poaceae
Also listed under: 1 other name
Description: tRNA-Lys
Rfam family: tRNA
About the family: Transfer RNA (tRNA) molecules are approximately 80 nucleotides in length. Their secondary structure includes four short double-helical elements and three loops (D, anti-codon, and T loops).
Source: RNAcentral
GGGUUGCUAACUCAAUGGUAGAGUACUCGGCCCGGGUUCGAGUCCCGGGCAACCCA